UACGAAGGGUGCAAGCGUUACUCGGAAUUACUGGGCGUAAAGGGCGUGCAGGCGGUUUGUUAAGUCUAGGGUGAAAGCUCCCGGCUCAACUGGGAGAGGUCCUUGGAUACUGGCAGACUUGAGGAGAGUAGAGGAGAGUGGAAUUCCCGGUGUAGUGGUGAUAUGCGUAGAUAUCGGGAGGAACACCAGUGGCGAAGGCAGCUCUCUGGGACGGUACUGACGCUGAGACGCGAAAGCGUGGGGAGCGAACAGG
RNAcentral lists this ribosomal RNA (253 nucleotides) under uncultured bacterium. RNAcentral's name for it is "partial 16S ribosomal RNA". It matches the Rfam family "Bacterial small subunit ribosomal RNA", at positions 524 to 776 of the family's 1533-position model. The record is from RNAcentral.